RNAcentral lists this ribosomal RNA (467 nucleotides) under uncultured bacterium. RNAcentral describes it as "partial 16S ribosomal RNA". It matches the Rfam family "Bacterial small subunit ribosomal RNA", at positions 28 to 506 of the family's 1533-position model. The record is from RNAcentral.
GACGAACGCUGGCGGCGUGCUUAACACAUGCAAGUCGAACGGUGAAGCUCCAGCUUGCUGGAGUGGAUCAGUGGCGAACGGGUGAGUAACACGUGAGCAACCUGCCCCUGACUCUGGAAUAAGCGCUGGAAACGGCGUCUAAUACUGGAUACGAGAAGGGUCCGCAUGGGCACUUUCUGGAAAGUUUUUCGGUUGGGGAUGGGCUCGCGGCCUAUCAGCUUGUUGGUGAGGUAAUGGCUCACCAAGGCGACGACGGGUAGCCGGCCUGAGAGGGCGACCGGCCACACGGGGACUGAGACACGGCCCAGACUCCUACGGGGGGCAGCGGGGGGGAAUUUUGCACAAGGGGCGAAAGCCGGAUGCAGCGACGCCGCGUGGGGGAUGACGGCCUUCGGGUUGUAAACCUUUUUCAGCAGGGAAGAAGCGAAAGUGACGGUACCGGCAGAAGAAGCCCCGGCUAACUACGU